RNAcentral lists this ribosomal RNA (495 nucleotides) under uncultured bacterium. RNAcentral's name for it is "partial 16S ribosomal RNA". It matches the Rfam family "Bacterial small subunit ribosomal RNA", at positions 29 to 507 of the family's 1533-position model. The record is from RNAcentral.
UACGAACGCUGGCGGCGUGCCUAAUACAUGCAAGUCGAACGCUGAAGGAGGAGCUUGCUUCUCUGGAUGAGUUGCGAACGGGUGAGUAACGCGUAGGUAACCUGCCUGGUAGCGGGGGAUAACUAUUGGAAACGAUAGCUAAUACCGCAUAAUAGUAGAUGUUGCAUGACAUUUGCUUAAAAGGUGCAAUUGCAUCACUACCAGAUGGACCUGCGUUGUAUUAGCUAGUUGGUGGGGUAACGGCUCACCAAGGCGACGAUACAUAGCCGACCUGAGAGGGUGAUCGGCCACACUGGGACUGAGACACGGCCCAGACGCCUACGGGAGGCAGCAGUAGGGAAUCUUCGGCAAGGGACGGAAGUCUGACCGAGCAACGCCGCGGGAGUGAAGAAGGGUGUCGGAUCGUAAAGCUCGGUUGUAAGAGAAGAACGAGUGUGAGAGUGGAAAGUUCACACUGUGACGGUAUCUGACCAGAAAGGGACGGCUAACUACGUG